CGCGUAGGCGGUCUCUUAAGUCAGAUGUGAAAGCCCGGGGCUUAACCCCGGAAGUGCAUUUGAAACUAGGGGACUUGAGUAUGGGAGAGGGAAGUGGAAUUCCUGGUGUAGAGGUGAAAUUCGUAGAUAUCAGGAGGAACACCGGUGGCGAAGGCGACUUCCUGGACCAAUACUGACGCUGAGGCGCGAAGGCGUGGGGAGCAAACAGGAUUAGAUACCCUGGUAGUCC
This 229-nucleotide ribosomal RNA is filed under the name uncultured bacterium. RNAcentral's name for it is "partial 16S ribosomal RNA". It matches the Rfam family "Bacterial small subunit ribosomal RNA", at positions 568 to 796 of the family's 1533-position model. The record is from RNAcentral.